Molecule: long non-coding RNA, 1176 nt
Organism: Epinephelus fuscoguttatus (brown-marbled grouper)
Lineage: Eukaryota; Metazoa; Chordata; Actinopteri; Perciformes; Serranidae
Exons: 5
Source: RefSeq, a predicted model, not a curated record
GAUCACUUCAGCAGCAUGGUAUUGACCCGACAACAAAUGUCUCCAUCAAUCAUAGCCGGACACAACAGGAGUGUAUUGUUCAAAGACACGACAGAGGGUGUUUAAUCACCGCUGAUCGGGUGUGGGUUUGUGUUUCCGAGUCUGCAUACCUUCGCUGAGGUGAUGUGAUCUCUGUGCAGCCACCCAGGAGCUGGACAUCUGUGUGGGUUGAUCCAUGAAUGGAUGGACGGAUGGAAACCCUGAUGAGAGCUGUGAGAGUGAACCAGAACAGUGAAGUUGCUGGCUGUAAAACCAAAACAAUGAGCUAAAAGAGGUGCAGAGCUACCAGAGCAGUUGGACUACAUGCAAACAGCGCCUGGAAGAAGAUCAGCUCUGCACUCAGGAUUUCAGGGUCAGGAUCUUGCCCCAGAGGACGUGGCCCCUGCAACAAAGGCCCCUACAGCAGAAAAUCUGAAUGUACAGUGUGUGCUUGUGUCUGACAUGUCUACCUGUCUGCACAAGAAGACCACCCCGCAUCCUUUUCCCUCACAAUUACAUCACACGCUGUGGGCGGUUGGCACGGCAACAGACAGGCAGGGAAUUGUUGCAGCCUCCCCGACAAAUCGGUGCUUGCCCUCGAGAGUUUUCCUUUUCAAGUAAAACUUUAAUGAUUCAGCCUUUGAAUCAUCAAAGGGCAGGUUUAAUGAGUCGAUUUAGAUGGAACCAAAAAAGUUUGACUUUGGUUUCAUUAUCUCUUCAAGGAAAAGGGCUCAGUGAAUACUAAUGAAAUAUACACAGUUAGAAUGAUUCACACAACGUGCAUUUAAAUUAAAUGACAUAAAAACUGAGUAAGGUGAAAUCAUUAACCUGACAACCCAAACAGUUGGGACAAGAAAAGAUUAAACUCAAAUCACCAACAAUUAUGAGGACUUCAAAUAAUAAAAAAGACUCAUCAGAUGACUUUGAACAUUUGCUUUUUCAUUUAAGUAGUCCUAUGGUGGAAGAAGGUCUCAGGAUCUUGUGGAAAAGUAGAAAUACGACAUUGUUAAAAUACUGCAUUACAAGUAAAAGUCCAGCAUUCAAAAUUUUACUUGAAAGUACAAAAGUGACGCCAAGACUGAGACUUCCAUGUCUCAGAUUUAGGCCCAAUAAAGUGGGCAAUGGACUGCAUUUAUAUGAAUCAGAAUCAGGUUUAUU